UGAUAGGGGUUUCCCUCUCCUCUUGUCUCCCCCUAGAUAAGUGUGGACACUGUCGCUUCCAUGUUUUUAUCAACAUCACAGCAGUCACUUUGGAAAGCAUGAGGUGCUGGGAAGCUUUCCCUGGCAUCUCAGACAGACCUCUUCACCCAAAAGGCUUAGAGACAAAUACUGAGGAUACAGUAUCAGACAAUGGAAGGAUUGGUUGUCCUAUUCUCGCUGCCCAGGGCAUCAGAAAGGAAAUCCCUGGGAUAUUUCACAGGAGAAAGAGAAUCCAUUUCCACCGCCAUUUGGAAUGGAAGCAAGUCUGGCCUCAUUCUUUGUCUGGGGACCCUUGAAAACCCACCUGUCCAACAACUCCAAGAUUUGGUGGCAAGGAGACUGUUAGCAACAGAAAAAAGGUAAGAAGAGAAAAUGAACAGCUUAGAGCUGACAGUCUAUUCCCCAGGAAGGGCUGACACAGUCGCUCCCAGUACAUCUUCAGGCAUCUCCUAAUGCCUGUGGUGUCGUGGUACUAUUGUUUUGUUGUUUUAGCUCGGAUCUCAGUUUGCAGACUUGCAUCUUUCUGAAGACCAGUAGCUAUUUAUUUAUAAGCCUCAAAGAGCUAUUAAGUGAGUAUGUGGAGGCAAGUGGAAUUGCUGCUGAAUGCAUAAGGUAAAUUGAUUUGUACCUACAAUUUACAUUUAUUCUUGGGGUAUAUUUGACACUAAUGUUGUGACGGAACUGCCAUGAUGAAGAUUAAUUACAUAAACAUUUUUUGCUGACUUUGUGAGCAGCUGAGUUGAUUGUUUUACUUGAUUUUCUGAGCUUGGUGCCUAAUAGCAAGGUGGGAGACAUUUCUUGGUUUUGCUCGGCACCUUCAUAGAUUAUGUGUCCCAGACCAGUCUUACCGAGUAAGGAACUGGGGAGGGUUUUUGCUAGCUACAGUGCUCCACCUUCCUUGAUUGUGAAGGAAGAAGUACAACACCGCUCAGCUCUUAGAAUUUUUCAAACAUCUGGAUUUGGGAAGAAUUCCCCAGAAUAAAAUAAGGAUUGUGCUUCCA
Molecule: long non-coding RNA, 1040 nt
Filed under: Vulpes vulpes (red fox)
Lineage: Eukaryota; Metazoa; Chordata; Mammalia; Carnivora; Canidae
Description: lncRNA (ENSVVUG00000014542.1)
Source: RNAcentral